ACUCCUGCGGGAGGCAGCAGUGGGGAAUAUUGGACAAUGGGCGCAAGCCUGAUCCAGCCAUGCCGCGUGAGUGAUGAAGGCCCUAGGGUUGUAAAGCUCUUUCACCGGAGAAGAUAAUGACGGUAUCCGGAGAAGAAGCCCCGGCUAACUUCGUGCCAGCAGCCGCGGUAAUACGAAGGGGGCUAGCGUUGUUCGGAAUUACUGGGCGUAAAGCGCACGUAGGCGGAUCGAUCAGUCAGGGGUGAAAUCCCAGGGCUCAACCCUGGAACUGCCUUUGAUACUGUCGAUCUGGAGUAUGGAAGAGGUGAGUGGAAUUCCGAGUGUAGAGGUGAAAUUCGUAGAUAUUCGGAGGAACACCAGUGGCGAAGGCGGCUCACUGGUCCAUUACUGACGCUGAGGUGCGAAAGCGUGGGGAGCAAACAGGAUUAGAAACCCCUGUAGUCC
This 444-nucleotide ribosomal RNA is filed under the name uncultured organism. Its description in RNAcentral is "partial 16S ribosomal RNA". It matches the Rfam family "Bacterial small subunit ribosomal RNA", at positions 335 to 796 of the family's 1533-position model. The record is from RNAcentral.